Molecule: long non-coding RNA, 836 nt
Organism: Armigeres subalbatus
Lineage: Eukaryota; Metazoa; Arthropoda; Insecta; Diptera; Culicidae
Exons: 4
Source: RefSeq, a predicted model, not a curated record
UAAUAACGUAUUUUACGUAAUAUUAUGCAAUAUUGACGCUUUAUUAAAUUCCUCGUCGCAACAUUCAAUCGAGAAAGUUCAUUUCUCAGUUACGUCGAUCCAACGUUAAAUUACCUGCCAAAUAGGUGAAUAUCGCGAAAUCAGCGUAAUAUUACCGCCACCAUCAGUGAUAUCGCUCCAUAAUGCAUGCUUCAAAUGUCAACAAAGCCGGCAGUCAGUCAGUCCAGUUUUCACUCCAUUCUGUUCGCAUCGGAAUACAAUUAUCAUUUGAAUAAUAUUUAUUAGUUUAAUUGCUUUUAAAAUACUAAAUUAAUUCGUUAGAAAGUGAGUGAAAUGUGACAACAGUGUUUCCGAGACCUGGAAUUGUGAGCAAAUCUGUUAAUGGAGAGGCAAAUGUCGAAAGGAUGCUAUGGAGCUGCAGAAUUCGUUUAUACCCAAAAGGAGCCGGCAUUGUAAACUGGAUGUGUGCAGAUUCAAAAUCGCCAUCGGAUAAUCGACCGAGUAACCGAUCUCUCUGUAAUCAGACGUCAGUCUUUCCUGCAGAGCCAAGCUAUCGAGAUCGUGCACCCUUAUAACCAAAAAACUAUUUCUAUUUCGAAUUUUUUCGAACGGAUCAAAAUCAGGAAAAAUGAAACCGCGCAGGUACGGAACAAAUUGUCGGGUUCAUGGUCCCACCUACUAUCCCGUACAAGAGCAAUCAGAUGACUGAGACUAACGGAAGUAGUUGCGAAGCAAUGCAAACAUGCGGUGACUUGUGGGAAGACGAACAAUGCAGUCACGACCGGACCUGCAUCAUAUGGCUGCAACAUUGGAGAUUAAAAUAAACGUAUGUAACU